GCGCGCGAGGAGGAAGACGCAGGGGCGUGCAGGGAACACCCGAUCCCCUUUGGCGAGAAAACGCGUUGAAUAGCGGCAGCUUGUGUCGAUACGGUGUCGUUGCGAGUCUCGAUUUGUGUAUAUCGGCUCUCGCCAGAGUGCUUAACGGCACCUGUUGCGGCUGCCCUUAGCCUUUGCCGCCGAUAUCGAUCGGAUCUCCGACUCGGGACACAAGUAUGUCUUAAAAUCGCAUCAUUAAUCUUAAUUUAGAUAUAAGUUAAUGAUCUUGUGUGCUUCCAUAGUUCCAUCAAUCUUGUUUCCUGUUGAGUGCAUUAUUAAGCGCGCGCAUCACUAGUCUUAAGUUAGAUAUAAUAAUCAUCUUGUAUGUUUUCAUCAAUCUUGUUUCUUGUCGAGUGCAUUAAGCCCUAUGCUGGAAUUUGUAAUUUUUAAGGGACAAACCACUUCAAACUUUCGAUGAGAGAGAGCAGGAAACAUAGUAUCAUUGCUAGCAACAAACAAAUAUUAAUUCCGCACCAAAUACUGUCCCAAACAAAUGAGUAGUCCAUAUCCCACUAAACAGUAGUAUUACUUCACUCAAAUAAGAAACAAAUAUGAAUUAUGCAUCAAGCACUGUUCCCUGCUGUUUUUUAGAUAAUGGAUUAAGAAACCGGCCUCUACAUCCAACUGUUCCCUGCUGUUGAUCGGUGAAGUUUCAUUUCGUCGUCAGAUGGAA
Non-coding RNA from Oryza sativa Japonica Group (Japanese rice), 712 nucleotides. NCBI's taxonomy places the organism in Eukaryota, Viridiplantae, Streptophyta, Magnoliopsida, Poales, Poaceae. The record is from RefSeq and is a predicted model, not a curated record.